This 68-nucleotide transfer RNA is filed under the name Marmota monax (woodchuck). Its description in RNAcentral is "tRNA.Ala". Lineage: Eukaryota; Metazoa; Chordata; Mammalia; Rodentia; Sciuridae. The record is from RNAcentral.
GAUAUAGCUCAGUGGUACAGCACUUGCCUAGCAUGGUUGAGGCUCUGGGUUCAAUCUCCAGCAUAUCA